Molecule: non-coding RNA, 76 nt
Organism: Podarcis lilfordi (Lilford's wall lizard)
Lineage: Eukaryota; Metazoa; Chordata; Lepidosauria; Squamata; Lacertidae
Source: the annotation of a GenBank genome assembly
AGAGGACCAUACAGCUCAGUGGUAGAGCAUCUACUUUCCACGCAGAAAGUCUUAGGUUCAAUCCCCGGUACCUCCA